GAUGAACGCUGGCGGCGUGCCUAAUACAUGCAAGUCGAGCGAACAGACGAGGAUCUUGCUCCUCUGACGUUAGCGGCGCACGUGUGAGUAACACGUGUAUCACCUACCUAUCAGACUGGGAUCACUUCGGGAAACCGGCUCUAAUACCGGAUAAUAUAUUGAACCGCAUGGUUCAAUAGUGAAAGACGGUUUUGCUGUCACUUCUAGAUGGAUCCGCGCCGCAUUAGCUAGUUGGUAAGGUAACGGCUUACCAAGGCAACGAUGCGUAGCCGACCUGAGAGGGGGAUCGGCGACAGUGGAGCUGAGAGGCGGUACAGGCUCCGACGGGAGGCAGCAGUAGGGAAGCUUCGGAAAUGGGCGAAAGCCUGACGGAGCAGCGCCGCGCGAGUGAAGAAGGGCUGCGGAUCGUAAAACGCUGUUAUUAGGGAAGAACAAAUGUGUAAGUAACGAAGCACGACCUGACGGAACCGAAACAGAAAGCCACGGCAAACUACGG
This 496-nucleotide ribosomal RNA is filed under the name uncultured bacterium. RNAcentral's name for it is "partial 16S ribosomal RNA". It matches the Rfam family "Bacterial small subunit ribosomal RNA", at positions 28 to 506 of the family's 1533-position model. The record is from RNAcentral.